RNAcentral lists this microRNA precursor (188 nucleotides) under Oryza brachyantha (malo sina). Its description in RNAcentral is "MIR812 microRNA precursor family". It matches the Rfam family "MIR812 microRNA precursor family". The record is from Rfam by way of RNAcentral. Lineage: Eukaryota; Viridiplantae; Streptophyta; Magnoliopsida; Poales; Poaceae.
AAUAAUAUCAAUUUUCAGUUUUCUGAUACAAUGUUUUGACUCUUCAUCUUGUUUGAAAUUUUUUACGAUUAAUAUUUUUAUUCUUACUGGAUGAUAAAACAUAAAUAGUAUUUUAUACGUGACUAUUUUUAGUUUUUAUACAAAUCUUUCAAAUAAGACGAAUGGUCAAACAUUGGACACGACAAAAC